UACAGAGGUCCCGAGCGUUGUUCGGAUUCAUUGGGCGUAAAGGGUGCGUAGGCGGCGGGGCCAGUCUGAUGUGAAAUCCUAGGGCUCAACCCUAGAACUGCAUUGGAUACUGCCUUGCUAGAGUACUGGAGAGGGAACUGGAAUUUACGGUGUAGCAGUGAAAUGCGUAGAGAUCGUAAGGAAGGCCAGUGGCGAAGGCGAGUUCCUGGACAGUUACUGACGCUGAGGCACGAAGGCCAGGGGAGCAAACGGG
RNAcentral lists this ribosomal RNA (253 nucleotides) under uncultured bacterium. RNAcentral describes it as "partial 16S ribosomal RNA". It matches the Rfam family "Bacterial small subunit ribosomal RNA", at positions 524 to 776 of the family's 1533-position model. The record is from RNAcentral.